UGGAUGCCACCAGCGCAGAGGUGACAGGAGAUUGUUGCAGGUGCCACGUGCGGUCAUGGGGACAGGGUGAGAUGUCCAUCUACUUCUUUGUCCCCAGAAAACUCCCACCUCCACUCAUGUAUCCUAGUCUCGCCUGUCAGAGUCUAAGAAGCCCCUGGGCUCCAAAUUUCUGACAGCAAAGGCAGUUGGCCAGAUCCCCCAACUUCCAGCUUGAAGAGCAACCAGGAGGUCUCUCUGCAACUUCCCAGAGCUCUGCAGAGCCACGUCAGCCCUCAGCACUUGGC
Molecule: long non-coding RNA, 284 nt
Filed under: Homo sapiens (human)
Lineage: Eukaryota; Metazoa; Chordata; Mammalia; Primates; Hominidae
Description: non-protein coding lnc-RHOF-2:1
Source: RNAcentral